Molecule: long non-coding RNA, 324 nt
Filed under: Lactuca sativa (garden lettuce)
Lineage: Eukaryota; Viridiplantae; Streptophyta; Magnoliopsida; Asterales; Asteraceae
Description: long non-coding RNA (LSAT_LNC002001)
Source: RNAcentral
AUGCAAUUUAGCAUGUCUUAAAAAAUUGUCUUAAAGACAAAUUGUACAGCAUGAUUUACUAAUGUUCAAUGCAUGAUGAAUUUGGCUCCAAAAGUGGUAUUCCUAUUCGUUUUGAAAUAUUUUGAAAAAAUUAUGGAAAGUAGACAGGUANAUUCCUAUUCUUUUGAAAUAUUUUGAAAAAAUUAUGGAAAGUAGACAGGUAAACAAAAGGAGCUGGAAAGGCAAAUAAAAAAAGCUGGACUUUCACUCUUCAUAUUAAGUAGGCGGAAUCUCAACCAUUAGACGAAUUAGAUGAUUUUUUAAUGCUCAAAAUUGAAUGUAUUU